CUCAGACCCCUCUCCUCCCACUCUAGCUCCAACAACUCUGACUCCACCUACCCACGACACAAGGUUGCCAUUUAUGUCCUCAAUUCCUUAUUGUGCCUCACCUCUCCUCUCACUUUGACUCCACUCAUUCUGACUCCACUUAUCUACCACACAAAACAUAAGCUAUCUAUUUAGCCCAUCUUAUAAGUUGCCCAUGUAGCAUGGUUAAGACUUAAAGUGGAUAGCAGCCUAUUUAGCCAAUCUAUCAACUAUCCAUUUGAUAGAAGCACAAUAGCCCACAACCCAAUAGACCGAA
Molecule: long non-coding RNA, 295 nt
Filed under: Elaeis guineensis (African oil palm)
Lineage: Eukaryota; Viridiplantae; Streptophyta; Magnoliopsida; Arecales; Arecaceae
Description: long non-coding RNA (EGUI_LNC050495)
Source: RNAcentral